GUGCGGUUGUGCGCGUCGGGUAAAAAUACGAAAUGAGCGUUUUACCAACUGCUUAAAACACCAAACACGCGCAGCGCUACAGACGAUGCGAAAGGCGUUAAAAACAAAAGUGAACAGCAAAAAACACGGUCAACGAAAUUUCAACAAUACUCGCAAACCUAUUUAUCAGUGUUUUUUUGUUAAACAGCUGCAAAAUAAAGUUCAACUGAGUAAAAAAAUUCGUUUCGCUAAAAGCUAAAAAGGAAGAGAAAAAGAAAAAACAGUUGGAUGCUGUGCUAAAAGCAACAAAUACGUCAAAAAUUUCGUGUGUGCUGCGCCCUAAAAUUGUACAAGUGUGCGUGUGUGUGUAUUUACGUGUGUGUGCGCGGUCCAGUUUUGUGUAUAACAACAAAAUCUAAGCUGUGUGUCCUUUAAAGGUGCCGCAAAGGUUGUGUAUGUAUUGUGUCGAAAAGCUUAGCUGCACAACGCAGGAUAACGCAUUAGUCAUCAGCAGAGCCGCUGGCAGCGCAUCCUGUGUCUGUCGACGCCGGCUCGCACAGAAACAAACCACGACCAAUAAGUAACAACAAAAAAGCUUCAACACUAACAACAACAAAAACAACUUGUUCUCCAUGCAUCGUUUAACCCCUGCAUGCGUCUAACAACAACAACAACACGAACAACAGUGACAAUAAGAAGAACGCAGGCAAAAGGAAAUCGAGAAUGGAGCGUAAAUUCACGCGCGGCUUGAAUAAGCCGGGCAUGGCGGCACAGCUGAGAGAGAGCGUCUCUCAGGUGGUGCGUGAGAGCGCCGUUUUGAUACACUGCCCUGGAAGCUAUCAGCGCAGUCUCUCCAUUUUGAACAAACCGCUCGUCGUGGAGCCAAUCGACUUUGAAGCCUUUAUAGCCAAAAAUAAAACACUCAUACAAAACGAUCCGCAGCGCGAGCUGCUUAUCUAUCCAGCGGACGAUGUCUCGGAAAUUGUCAUGCCGCGCAAGCAGCGCACCACUGCCAAAUCUGUCGCAGAUCGAUUUGUGCCAGCCAAUGAGGCUAUUGUUACGCCACUGCAUGGGCCAAUUGUGCUGGGCAGCAACGGGCACGGCCAGGUGAGCCGGCAGGGCAGCCUGCAGUCAAAUGGCAGCCUUCACAAUGGCCACAGCAGCACAGGCAGCCUUUCGAAUGGCAAUGGGCAAUUGUCGCGCAAGAGUUCGCAGUGCUCGAAUGGGUCGGUGGUCAGUCGAAAGACCUCGCAGGAGUCAUCCUAUGACUCGGCCUUGUCCUCCAACACAUUGCGCUCGAAUUUGGCACAGCCCGAGGAGGUGGAUGAGUAUGCGGACGAGGAGCCAGCGGCCAGCGAGGAUAUGACAGAUUCAACUGCUCUGGGCACGCGUGCCGAGUGCACGCGCUUCACUCGCCAGGCGCUCUACACGUACCGUGCCAAGAAUCAUCUCAUCCACUACAAGUACAGUGCAUAUGGCGGUAACUGUAACGAUCUGCCCAGCACCUCACCUGCCGAGGAGCUGCUGGAGGAGGUAUACGAAAUCGAUGCUGACCAGGACCGCAUCGAUGAGCAGAUGACUCGCUCCCAGGCAGACAGCAUUACCAAACAAGGUUUCCUAUUGAAGGGGCCCGACUCGGCCGCGGAUCGCAUGUUUGCCAACAUCGGCAAUAAGUCGUUCAAACGCCGCUAUUGUUAUCUGCGCCAGGAGAUCGAUGGCACCUACAUACUCGAGCUGCACAAAGAUGAGAAGCAGUGCGAGGCCAAGGCCACCAUUGUCAUGGACUUUUGCACGGAAGUGGUGCAGAAUCCUAAACGUGGUCGCUUUUGCUUUGAGCUGCGCAUGACAACUGGUCACAAAUCGUUCACCUUGGCCGCCGAGAACGAGCAGGACUUUAAGGAUUGGCUGUCCAAGCUGUCCUCAGUGCUGGCACAGAACAAGGCGCAGGAGGAGAAGCGCAACGCCUCGCUAGAACGCCAGCCUGCCAAUGGCAAUGCCAAUGCCACGCCCACGCCACAACUGCAACCGCCGGCCACGGAACCAGCCACUUUUGGCACACUCAAGGGCCUGGAUCAGUCGCUGCAUCCGCAGCUGAUGAAGUAUGGACGCGAGACGGAUCACUCCAUAGCGCAGGCGCGUCGGGAGCAACGUCGCCGUCUCUUCGCCUGCUACCAGAGCACCGCCAAGGCCGUGGGCAACGAUAAUGUGGAGCAGUAUCGCGAUCACUUUGGCACACGCGUCCUACUCAGCUGUCAAUGCCUGCGCUUUCGCCUGCAAUGUCAGUCGGUGGAUAUGGCGGAUGGUGCUGCGGGCGAACAGCUGUGCCAGGUGGAGCCGUACAUAACCAGCUUGGCGCUAUAUGACGCCAAGGCCGGACGUAAGCUCAGUGAGAACUUCUACUUCAACAUAAAUGAGCCCAGUGCGGCCCAGAUGCUGCCCAACACCCCAGUGCCAGCCUCCGUGGCGGACUGUGGCAUCCCCAGGCGUGUGGAGAACGAUGAGCGCAAUGCUUCCCAGGCUCCACAUUCGCUGUUUGACAGCGUUUCAUCCGAGCUGCUGCGCUGUCCUCGCCAGCAAUUCCAUCAGCUGCGCCAGUGCAUGCUGUCGGUCAGCGCGCCGCAUGCGGAUAUCUAUCUAGUGCUUCGCAUUGAGAAGGUGCUGCAGUGCAGCAUUGCCCAGGCGGCCGAGCCAUAUAUGAAGGCCGCACGUGAUCCAAAGCUUGGCCAAAAGGUGCACAAGACGGCCAAGAGCUGUGCCCAGCACAUCGGACACUACCGCCAGCCUUUUGCCUGGGCCGCCCGGCCGCUCUUUAAGGCCUACAGCCAUGAGCUGGACGUGGACUCCAAUUGCAUAUGCGAGUUCAGCACCAUCUAUCGCCAGGAGCUGCCCAAGCUGCGCGAUGAGGAGCUGCUAAAGCUGCUGGCCGACUACCGCAAGCCGGAGAAAUUCAGCAAGCUGAACGUCAUACCGGGCUAUAUGCGCCUGCAGGUGCAGUUGCUGGAUCAAACGACGCCCUGCGGCUUGACCAAGUCCCUGGCGCCCUUGUCCACCUUCAGUGCCUCCGCCAAGCAGCCGCUCACUCUGGAACUCGCCGAGUUUCAGGGCCAAAACGAACGUGAUGCGCAUCCCUAUACCAGUUUCUGUAACCAUCUCUAUGUGUAUCCCCUGAGCCUUCAAUUCGAUAGUCAAAAACUCUUUUCACGCGCUCGCAACAUCACAGUCGUCGUCGAGCUGAGAGAUGGCGAUGGCGAGUACAGUAAACCUCUAACGUGCAUCUAUGGCCGACCUGGCCAGGAAUUGUUGGUCUCGCAGAUCGCCUGCCCGGUGCUGCAUCACAAUGUGACGCCCACGUGGUAUGAGGAGAUCAAACUGCGUCUGCCGCUUGGCCUCUUUCCGGAGCAUCAUUUGCUCUUCUCGUUCUAUCACGUCUCCUGUAAUCUGAGUAAGAAACGCGAUGCGCACGCAGCAUUUGAGACGCCCAUUGGCUAUGCCUGGUUGCCGCUGCUGCAGAAGAAUCGCAUCUGUCUGGAGGAGCAGCUGCUGCCCGUGGCAGCCACGUUGCCCGUUGGCUAUCUAUCCAUACAGCCGCUGGGCUGGGGUAAAGGGCAGAACUGCGGUCCGGACAUUCAGUGGAUCGACAAUCAGCGAGCGCUAUUCAGCGUUGGCCUGCGUCUGGACUCCACGGUGCUGACAUCCGAUCAGCAUUUGCACAACUUUUUUGCCCACUGCGAACGCCUGCUGGAGGGCGGCAAGACAGGAGCCCUGCCCGCCGAGACGGAGACCUGCAAGAUCCUCAAAGCGGCGCACGCCAUCGACAUGCGCUCCCUGAUCAACUUUCUGCCCACGCUCCUCAACGAGUUGUUCACGCUGCUGGUGCACACACAGUCCGAGGAGAUCGGGCUUAAUGUGAUACGUCUACUAACGAACGUCAUACACCAGAUCAGCGAUGAGGCCAAGCGCACGGAGCUGCUCGCUUCGUACGUGAAGUAUGUGUUCCAUGCGCCCUACUACAGUCAGCAAACAGCACGAUCGCGCACCGUGCACGGCGAGCUGUGCCGCCAUCUGCCCUACCUGCUCAAUCCCAACAACACGGACUUUCUGAUCGUGAACAAGUUUAUGCGCUACUCGUCGAUCUUCUUCGAUCUGAUUGUGAAGAGCAUGGCGCAGCAUCUGCUGGCCACGGGUCGCAUUCGCAUGCUUCGCAACGAACGCUUUCCCAAGGAGUAUGCGGAUCGGGUGGAGCAGCUGGUCAAGGCGCUAAUACCAUAUAUAACAACCCGCUACGACGAUCUCGGCGAGGAGACCCAGCUGCUGAAUCGUUCGCUGGCGCGCUUUGUCCGCCAGUGCCUCAGUUACAUGGAUCGCGGCUUUGUGUUCAAGCUGAUUCGCUUCUACAUGGAACAGUUCGCGCCUGGCAAUCCACGCGUGCUGCACGAGUACAAGUUCAACUUCCUGCAGGAGAUCUGCCAGCACGAGCACUACGUGCCGCUCAAUCUGCCGUUCGUGCUGAAUCCGAAGAAUCGACCACCCGAACUGCUGCAGCAUUACACGCUCUCGGAACAAUUCUGCCGCCAGCAUUUUCUAUCCGGCCUGCUGCUGCAGGAGCUGAAGAGCAGCCUCAACGAGGUGGGCCACGUGCGACGCCAUGCGCUGUCCGUGUUCAGGGAUCUGCUGGCCAAGCACGAGUUGGACGCGCGCUACCAGCAACGCGGCCAGCUGAGCCGCAUUGCUCUGCUGUAUGUGCCCUGGCUGGGAAUUGUCAUGGACAAUCUGCAGCGCAUCGAUGAUUUGUCCGAGUCGGGAGCCAGCACGCCCAACGGCCAUGUCUAUGCAGACUCGGCGUCGUAUACGAAACGGCUCAGUUGCUCCAGCAGCUAUGUAUUCAGCAAAGACUCCUCGACCUUCGGCUCGCUAACUUCCACGCCACGUUCCAAGAAUCGCCUCACGCCCCACGCUGACCUUGCCAGUCCCUGUCGCACCUCGAUGCACAUCAAGGACCACAACUAUCUGGCCGCCAUUGCGGGCUCGGCGAUUGGCAACGGCAUCUCGAAUUUGUCGCUCAACUCGAACUCCGAUUCAGGCCACUCACAGGACACCACAACGAUCGGCGCUUACACCAAUGGCGAAAUGGACGUGGCCAUGCGUAACGGUCACAAUCGAUCCGUGAGCGUAACCCAUGCCCAGAUUCUCGCACGCUGCGACAAGUUCAGUGCAGCGGAGAGCAAAGAUUUGCUGCUCGGUUUUCUGUUUAUUGUGAAGCAUUUGUCACAGGAUCAAAUGGUCGCCUGGUGGCAGAGCUGCAACGAGACGGAGACAUUGCAGUUCCUGUCCAUUUUGGACUUGUGCCUGCUGCAAUUCCGCUACGUGGGCAAGAAGAACAUUGUGAUGGCCAGCGAGGCUCGAGUACAGAGGCCGGCUAAAGCAAAUACUCUACCCGCUCGCAGCACGCCGCCUGUGGUGGAGAACGGCAGCGCAGAGCCCAGCACUGGCACCCUCACCCAGACGCGUGAGCAUCUGCUCGAGGACAUGGACUUGUGUGCUAGAUCGCAGCAAGCGCUGUACGAAUCAAACCUGGCCACGGAGGUGGGCAUGAUCAUACUGGACUGCCUCGGUCUCUACGUGCUGCAAUUCCGCCAGCUACUGGCGGACAGUCUGGUGCUGCCCAAGCUGGCACGCGUCUAUCUGCGCUUCCUGCAGCUGGGCCAGUCGGAGCGCCUGUCCAAGCAUCUGUUUGCCGCGCUGCGCGCCUUCAUCAACAACUAUUCGAUGGCCCUAUUCAAGGGCAAUGCAAUGCUCUGUGGCCAGAUGGUCUAUGAGCUGCUGAAAGCCUGCGACAGCCGGCUGGUGCACAUACGCCAGGAGUCCUGCGCCGUUCUCUAUCUGCUGAUGCGCAGCAACUUUGAGUUCAGCGGCCGCAAGGCGCUCACCCGCGUCCAUCUGCAGGUCAUCAUCUCGGUGUCGCAAAUGAUUGGCAAUGUGAUUGGGCUGAACAAUGCGCGCUUCCAGGAGAGCCUUUCCAUCAUCAACAGCUAUGCCAACAGUGACAAGGCCAUGAAGGGCACCGGCUUUCCCCUGGAGGUCAAGGAUCUGACGCGACGCGUGCGCACAGUGCUGAUGGCCACGGCACAGAUGCAGGCGCAUCACAUGGACCCGGAACGCCUGCUCGAGCUGCAGUACUCGCUGGCCAACUCGUAUGCCUCGACGCCAGAGCUGCGGCACACCUGGCUGGUAACCAUGGCCCGUAAUCACGAGCAGAACGGCAAUCUCUCGGAGGCCGCCUGCUGUCAUCUGCAUAUUGCGGCGCUAAUGUGCGAAUAUCUGCGACUACGCGGCGGCUGCACCCUCAGCUGGUCCUCGACGGCCUUUGGUAAGAUAUCACGCAACAUUCCGUUGGAUGAGCAGGGCCUCAAGCUGGAUGCCGGCGCCCAGGACUCGCAGUACACUGAACAAAUGCUGCUGGAACAACUAAAGCAAUGCGCCGACUUCCUAGAUCGUGCCGAGCGCUUCGAGUGCCUCGGCGAACUUUACAAACUCAUCCUGCCCAUCUACGAGCGCGCACGCAACUUUAUUGAGCUGGCCCAGAGCUAUGAGCAUCUCACCCAGGCCUACAAUAAAAUAGUCGAGGUGAAUCGGUCCGGCAAACGCAUGCUCGGCCGCUUUUAUCGAGUGGUCUUCUAUGGCAUGAUGUACUUCGAGGAGGAUCAUGCCAUCGAGUUCGUCUACAAGGAACCAAAGCUAACAUCGCUUAGCGAAAUUUCUGAACGCUUAGCCAAGCAGUAUAAGGAAAAGUUCGGCGCCGAUGUAGUCAAGCUCAUAAUGGAUUCCUCGCCGGUAAAAGUUGACGAAUUGGAUCCCAAACUAGCCUACAUACAGGUCACCCAUGUCAUACCGUUCUUCACCAAAGACGAGCUCGAUCAGCGCCUGAACGAGUUCGAGCAGAAUCACGAUGUGGACACAUUCAUGUAUGAAACGCCCUUCACCAAAUCUGGCGCAGCACGCGGCAGCGUGGAGGAGCAAUGGAAGCGCAAGACGGUCAUUAAGACCCGAUAUUCGUUUCCGUAUGUGCUCAAGCGCAUACCCGUCAAAUCACGUGAGAUCAUCGAGCUGAGCCCCAUUGAGGUGGCCAUAGAUGAGAUGCAAUCAAAGGUUUCAGAGCUGGAGGAGAUCAUUCUGCCGCCGGCCGAUGUUAAGAAGCUGCAGCUGCGCCUGCAGGGCAGCGUGGCAGUUACUGUGAAUGCGGGUCCCCUGGCCUAUGCACACGCCUUUCUGGACGCCAAGGUGAUCAACAACUUUUCGCUGGAUCGUGUUGAGGAUCUGAAGGACGUAUUCCGGGACUUUAUUGGCGUCUGCCACAAGGCGCUCUGCGUGAACGAGCGGAUGAUCAGUGCCGAUCAGAAGGAAUACCACCAUGUACUGAAGGAGAACUAUGAGAAGCUGUGUCAAGCGCUCAGUGAGUUACUCCAAGACGAGUCAUUCCAGCCGCUUAGCGACGAUGCCGACGCAGCCGCCCAGCGCAAUAGCAUGGCUUUAUUCAAUGCGAUCAGUGGGGCCUCACAUAACUCAAGUACAGCUUAAGUUCAAAAACAAAAAACAAAAUACCAACAAAAAACCAAACAAUACAAAUACCAAUACACACUUAUACGCACAGCUACUAAAAACGGUUUUAACAAAGCAACGUAGAAGCGUAAUUUGUAGCAUUAAACUCUGUUGGGUGUUCCUUUUGUAAUGAUGUUUGAUCUUUCACCUUUGACCUUUGAUGUUUGAUGUUGUCGUUAUCGUUGUUGUUGUGGCAGGUUUUGGUUUUGCCGUUUAUUAAAGCCCAUGCAAACCAGCAAAUACCAUAUAUAUAUCCCACACAAACAUCUAUAUAGAAUAUUGAUCUACA
This 7864-nucleotide unclassified non-coding RNA is filed under the name Drosophila mojavensis. Its description in RNAcentral is "GI17779". The record is from RNAcentral. Lineage: Eukaryota; Metazoa; Arthropoda; Insecta; Diptera; Drosophilidae.